Molecule: ribosomal RNA, 524 nt
Filed under: Oncocephalus breviscutum
Lineage: Eukaryota; Metazoa; Arthropoda; Insecta; Hemiptera; Reduviidae
Description: partial large subunit ribosomal RNA
Rfam family: Bacterial large subunit ribosomal RNA
Source: RNAcentral
AACAUGUCCUUUUGUAUAUUUAUAUAAGGUAUAACCUGCCCAAUGAUAUUUUUAAUGGCCGCGGUAUUUUAACCGUGCUAAGGUAGCAUAAUCAUUUGUCUUUUAAUUGAUGGCUGGAAUGAAGGGUUGGAUGAGAUAUUAACUUUCUUUAAUUUAAUUAUAGAAUUUAACUUUUGAGUGAAAAGGCUCAAAUUUUUUUGUAGGACGAGAAGACCCUAUAAAUCUUCACAUUUGAAUUAUUUAUGAUGUUUUGAGAUUGAUUUGUUAUAAAUUGUUGUAGUGUUUGAUUGGGGUGAUUAUAGAAUUAUAAUAACUUCUUUAUAAUUAUUUCAUUGAUUAAUGUAUACUUGAUCCAUUUUUAGUGAUUAAAAGAUUAAGUUACUUUAGGGAUAACAGCGUAAUUUAUUCGGAGAGUUCACAUCGAUGAAUAAGCUUGCGACCUCGAUGUUGGAUUAAAAUAAGUUCUGAUUGUAGCAGAUUAUGGACUAGGUCUGUUCGACCUUUUAAUUUUUACAUGAUCUGAG